UGGUUAAUCAUGACACGAAACAGAGAACAGUUCAUCUUUAAAUUCUGAACUGAAUGUCAAUGCAUCUUUUGAACAGAUCAAGUUCAAUUGGAAAUGACAGCAUCGUUCCCGACUCCGUCUUCCUCUCUCUCUUCUUUAUUGCUGCACCUGUGCUCUUUAGACAAGAGUGCUUUCAGAGCUCUACAAGUGUGUUUCCAUCCAUACUGACUGACUGUUUGUGAGGGAAAAGUAUCAUUUUGCAAAUGUCUUCGCAUUCACAUAUAACUCCUGCUCUGUAAAAGUGCCAUAAACUGGGAUAGAGCGAAGAUAUCCGACCCCCAGUGCUUUCCCGCUUCACGGAAGAUCUCGCACAGAUAAAGUUGCUGGAAGUCAUUAGAGCAUAUGGGUUUACAGAGCUGGAGAAACGUUCCUGCCCUCAACACGUCCAAGAGCAACAACCGGGCAGCGGGCGUUUCCCUGUCCCGCGAGGAGACAUUUGCUCUUUUAUUGAGCUCAAGAUGCCCUAAAAUCAGUUUAUUUUCAGGAAUGGAAAGCUGCCUGUUUCAAUAAAAGUUUUUAUUUCCAGUGUCCUCAAUAGCAUCCUUCCAGCUACCAACAACACCACGUUAUCACUGUCUGAUUUAUCCAUCAUGGUUGAUACCAAGAACGUACUGUGCAAACAGGUGAACUAAAGUGAAAUACAUAUCCAAUGUAUCUGUCGCAUGUUUAAACAGAUGAUGAAAAAGAUUUUGUAAGGGACUUUUCUUUCUGUUUUAGAUGUUCGAAGUUCGAAGUUCCGAUCUGAAUCAAAAGAUCCAUAAACCCACUCCGUAGAUCCGAUCUAUCCACCCUCUGUCCCGAUCUGAAUAAUGAUUCGCGAACCAUCAUUUCAAAUCGGUCCUCGAAAGUUUGGAGGUUUCGAUCUGAAUCAAAAGAUUUGCAAUACGCAAAGUUCUGAUCCAAAUCAAAUGAUUCGCGAUCCGAUUCGAAUCUGAAUCGAAAGAUUCGCGAUAUGCGAAAUUCCAAACCAAACGAGUCAUCUCAUACCAUUGAAGAUAAUGUUAAAAGUAUCAAAAUGAC
Long non-coding RNA from Cyprinus carpio carpio, 1059 nucleotides. NCBI's taxonomy places the organism in Eukaryota, Metazoa, Chordata, Actinopteri, Cypriniformes, Cyprinidae. The record is from Ensembl.